UAAAGAACUACCUGAGACUGGGUACUUAUGAAACAAAGAGAUUUAAUUGACUCACAGUUCAGCAGGCUGUACAGAAAGCAUGGCUAGGGAGUCCUCAGGAAAUGUACAGUCACGGUGGAAGGCAAAGGGGAAGUAGGCACAUCUUCCCAUGGCAGAGCAGGAGAGAGAGAAAGAGAGAGAGACAGAGAGAGAGAGAGAAGAGGGGAGGUGCUAUACACUUUCAAACAAUCAUAUCUCAUGAGAAUUCUAUCACAAGACAGCACUAGGGGGAUGGUGCUAAACCAUUAGAAACCACCCCCAUGAUCCAAUCACCUCCCACCAGGCCCCACCUCCAUCACUGCGAAUUAUAAUUCGACAUGAGAUUUGGGAGAUGACACAAAACCAAACCAUAUCAGUCUUUAAAGAGUUAAGUUAAAAUAAGCUCUUUAAAGUGGGCCCUAAUCCAGUAUGACUGGUGUUCUUAUAAGAAGAGGAGAUUUGGUCACAGACAUGGUUGCAUGCAGAAUAAAGACUUUUCGAGGACACACUGAGAAGGCAGCCAUCUGCAAAACAAGGAAAGAGUCCUCAGCAGAAACCAGUCCUGCAGACUCCUUGAUCUUGGACUUCCAGCCACUGCAAUUUAAUGGUGCCAAGACCAUCAAUGGGGAAUGGACAGCAUCUUCAAUGAAUGGUGCUGAGAAAACUGGAUAUCUACCUGCUAAAGAACCAACUGGGUCCUUACCUUAUCUUACCUUACCUUAUACUAUAUGUACAAAUCAAUUCAAAUGGAAUAAAGACAUAAAACUAUAAAGCUCCUAGAAGAAAACAUAGGGCAAGAGCUUUAUAACAUUGCAUUUGUCAAUGAUUUCUUGGAUAUGACACCAAAAGCACAAGCAACAAAAGAAAAAAUAGAUAAACUGAACUUCACUGAAAUUGAAGACUUUGUGCCCUAAAGGACCCUUGCAAGAGAGUGAAAAGGCAACCCAAAGAAUGGGAGAAAGUAUUUGCAAAUAACUUUAUCUGGUAAGGAAUUAAUAUCUAGAAUAUAUAAAGAGGUCCUAUAAUUAAAACAAAUGAGCAGCCCAGUUCAAACCUGGUCAAAGGCUCUGAAUAGAUAUUCCUCCAAAGAAGAUAUACAAAUGGCUAAUAAGUACCAAAAGAUGUGCAAUGUCACUAGCCACUAGGGACAUGCAAAUCAAAACCACAACAAGAUACGAUUUCACACUUAUAGGAUUGCCAUUACCAAAAAACAAAAAAUUUAAAAAAAAAACAUAUUGGUAAGGAUGUAAAGACAUUGGAAGCUUUGUACAUUUCUGAUGGGAAGGUAAAAUGGUGCAGUCACUGUGAAAACACUUUGGUAGUUCCCCAAAAAAUUAAACAGAAUUACUAUAUGAUCCAGCAGUUUCACUCGUAGGUAUAUAUCCAAAAGAAAUGAAGAGAGAGAAUCAAACAGACGCCAAUAUUCACAGCAGUAUUAUUCACCAUAGCCAAAAUGUGGAAACAACUCAGAUGUCCACCAACAGAUGACUGAAUAAACAGAAUAUGGUAUAUACAUAGAAUGGAAUAUUAUUCAAGCCUAAAAAGGAAUAAAGUUCUGACACAUGCUACUACAUGAAUGAACCACAAACAUUAUGCUAAGUGAAAUAAGCCAGAUAUAAAAGGACAAAUAUUAUAUGAAUCUACUUACAUGAGGUACCUAGAACGGGCGAAUCCAUAUAGACAGAGGGUCGAAUAGAGAUUACCAGGGGCUGGAGGGAGGAAGGAAUGGGGGUUAAUGUUCAAUAGGUGCAGAGUUUCUGUUUGGGAUGAUUAAAAGUUCUGGAGAUAGAUGACUAUGACGUUUGCACAAAAAUGUAAAUGUACUCAAUGUCAUUGAAUUGUACACUUAAAAGUGUUUAAAAUGGUAAAUGUUAUGUAUAUUUUACCACAAGAAAUAAAAUAUAGACUGGAGGUCCUCAUGUCAUGGAAAAUUGUUUUUCUGUCACUUAGUAUGUAAAGUGGAUGUGUUCUAUUUACUGAAGAGUCUUCGAGAUCAGGGAGGAAAGACAGAAUUCAUAGAAAAGAGACAGCACCUGAAUUUUCCAGUGCCCCCUGCAGCCCUUACUCAUGCUCAUCAAUCUAAGGUUUUCUGCAAUCAAUUUUCUUCUUUCCCCCUUUCAAAUGCUUUUCAUGAUGGCAAAUAAGGAUGUCAAGCUUCAGCACCCUUGCAUCUCUGGAUAAAUGAAAUGUCACCCCAGCUGCCGUCCUUGUUCAGAUCUGUGCAAUAAAGAGCAAAGCAUAAAACCAAGUCAAGGCUUUGAGGGAGUGACCUACAAAAUGCAUAAUGUGAAACAAUGCAAAAGCGAAAGGUGCAAAAUCCCCAUCAAAGAGCUGGAGGCUGACAGAUGCGCCAGUGAUAAUUCCCAUCUUCCAACACAGGAGCACAGCUUCCAUUUUCCAUAACAGAACAACAGCCAGAGCAGCUGGAAGGCAGGGCCGCAUCCCAGACUUCCACCAACAAUGGGAUGAGACUUGACAUCUGGAAUCACAACCACAACAGACCUGAGAGACCCACCAGCUUGAUGACAAGCUUCUUCUUUCAAAGAAAGGUAUCAGUCUGGGGGACCUAGUGCUGCAAACCAUGACAAAUUAAGUGUGGCAUCCCUCACUUGCAUAAUGGAACUCAGUGAUAUUUUUUAAUUAACAAGAGUUAUUUUUAUGUAAGCUUCUCUCAUUCCUCCACUGUGCGUGCUCGGGGGCUGGUGGUGAGGAAAAAGAAAACAGCUGUGCGGGAAGCAUCAAGAAAAGGCAAGUCAUGAAGUCUUAGAGAUCAGUGACAUGUAAGAAAAAGAGUGAGGAGAAAAAUAUUCCUACUAAAGUUUUCCAUUUGUUUACCUUCCUUGUCACAUAGACUUCCAAGAGUUAGAAGUCUAGGAUUUGAUCUCCAAAUCUUCCUGGCAGAUUACUCAUCUUCAUUUCAUUCAUAUAGUCCAGGGGUUUGUACAAAGGAAGAUGCCAGUUCUUCCCCAAUCAUAACUAAGAUAUCAAGAGAUAUUCUUUUGAAAUGUAACAAAGGAGAUCUGAAGUUCAUCUGAAAAAAAUAAAUGGUUUUAGGCGGUCAUGACCAUGGGAUGCUGGACCAGGAUGGUAAGCUUCAGGAAACAGAAUCUGGAGAAUGCCCAGCUGCUCCCACAGGAAGCAUCAGGGAAGAAGAAGAAGAGGUGUGAAGUCUGCCUUCUGCUCUGCUGGGAUCCCUUUCACAUCUCCUUUGCCUCCAGGCAGUUUUGGUUCCUGGCCAUUUCCAGGUGUGACUCACUCAGGAUGGUAAGCAUCUUCUCUCCUACCCAGAGUAGAGGAUGAAGACCUCAUCUCAGAGGUUGAAGGGAGCUCCAGAGAGAGGUCUCAAACUUCCAGCAUUAACUGCUAAAGAAGCUUCAUGAGCUGCUGGAGAACCUGGGAAAUGACCAAUUAUAGGGACAGAGCUCAAAUACUCUGGGACACUCUAGUAGCUGAGAAAGUUCCAACUCCAGGGUGAUAGAGGACUGCCUGGCAAACCAUCAUCAAAGCAGAAGACCUGAUACUAACAUCACAGGCUAUGGUUUAUUACUGAAGAUCAGUGCUUACACCCUGCCAGAGGUUCAGAAGCAAACUUAUCAUUGUUCUCCCUGGAGAUGUUGGCCCACAUUCUGAAAAGUGUGGUCAGUAGUAGCAACAGAAAGCAAUUGUGCUUGCCAAGCACAAUGUCACUGUCCCCAGCCCUUCCCCCAACACAACCCAGUAGGUGCUUCCUGGCUGCAAACUUGGGAAAGUCACUUGACCUGUCUGAGGUUCCACUUCCUAAUCUGGCCUGGCGAAGAUAAGAAAAACAGUUUAUUUAAAGUGUCUAGCAAAGUGCUUGGACCAAAAUAGGACCUCUGAAAUGGUUAUGGUAGUGCUGUUAAGGUGAUGUUUUAAGUGCUGAUGAGCACAAAGAUGGGUAAGAUAUUCCUUCUGUUAAAAUCUACAGUCUAAUGAGAGAGAACAAGAUGAAUGCACAAUAACUGUCAUUCAGAACAGGAUUAUGAGAAGGUGUGAAUUUCUGUGAAAAAUCAGAACAGGGAGUAAUAUGAUCCCAGGUGAUUGGCAGGGGGUGGGGGUCUGGAUUCAACUGGAGAGGGAGCUGGCAGGGAAGGCUUCCUGGAGGAUGAGAGUUCAACAAGGGGCAGGUGUAGGAUGUGGGUGGCCAAGUGACUGGGCAGAAGGAGCUGCAGAAGUAAGACCCCAAAUCAGGAAGACAAGGGCCUGCUGAGAAACACGAGCUACAAAGUGCAAGUGCAGGAAGAGUUGGGAUGAGAUUAGAAGGGGGUCUGGGGCCAGACUGUGGAAGGCCCAAAUGCCGGGCUAAGGAGUUUGUACUUAAUUCAGUGGUCAACGGGGAGUCAUUGGAGGCUGUUGAGCAGGAGAGUUGCUUUCUUUACAGCUGUGCCAGACUAAAUUAAACCUAAACAGUACUUUAUAGCUGGAAAGGGAAGGCCCAGGAAUAGCUCUUGACUCAGAAACAGGCAUUGGGGAAGGUAAUGAGAAACAGCCGUGACUGAUCAAAGCAGAGAGGUUAAUUAAAUUUGUAAUUAUUGUGAAAGGCCAUUAAAAACCCUAGUUCACUAGAGAUAACUGCUCUAGUGGGGCUUCAAAGACAAACGCUUCUUUUAACCUUGAAUAGGGGGAUGUUUGCUUCUCUGUGGAGGAGAUAUGAUUAAGAUACUUAAUAAAUGGUAGAUAAACAUGCACACGUGUGUGUUCUCUGUAAACCCACUCUUCGUCCCUGCAUAUAUCUGUGUAGCUAUGUAGGGUGCUCCACAAGAGGGGUCCCCAGCCCCCAGGCCAUAGAGCGUUAUGGGUCCAUGACCUAUUAGGAACCAGGCCACACAGCAGGAGUUGAGCAGAGGGCAAGCAAGCAAAGCUUCAUCUGUAUUUACAGUC
Molecule: long non-coding RNA, 4917 nt
Filed under: Homo sapiens (human)
Lineage: Eukaryota; Metazoa; Chordata; Mammalia; Primates; Hominidae
Description: HSALNT0134826
Source: RNAcentral